ACUCCUACGGGAGGCAGCAGUGGGGAAUAUUGCGCAAUGGGCGAAAGCCUGACGCAGCAACGCCGCGUGAGGGAUGACGGCCUUCGGGUUGUAAACCUCUUUCAGCAGGGAAGAAGCGAAAGUGACGGUACCUGCAGAAGAAGCACCGGCUAACUACGUGCCAGCAGCCGCGGUAAUA
This 178-nucleotide ribosomal RNA is filed under the name uncultured Actinomycetes bacterium. RNAcentral's name for it is "uncultured actinobacterium partial 16S ribosomal RNA". It matches the Rfam family "Bacterial small subunit ribosomal RNA", at positions 335 to 525 of the family's 1533-position model. The record is from RNAcentral. Lineage: Bacteria; Bacillati; Actinomycetota; Actinomycetes.